This 76-nucleotide transfer RNA is filed under the name Candidatus Pelagibacteraceae bacterium. RNAcentral describes it as "tRNA-Thr". It matches the Rfam family "tRNA". From Rfam's summary of the family: Transfer RNA (tRNA) molecules are approximately 80 nucleotides in length. Their secondary structure includes four short double-helical elements and three loops (D, anti-codon, and T loops). Further hydrogen bonds mediate the characteristic L-shaped molecular structure. tRNAs have two regions of fundamental functional importance: the anti-codon, which is responsible for specific mRNA codon recognition, and the 3' end, to which the tRNAs corresponding amino acid is attached (by aminoacyl-tRNA synthetases). tRNAs cope with the degeneracy of the genetic code in two manners: having more than one tRNA (with a specific anti-codon) for a particular amino acid; and 'wobble' base-pairing, i.e. permitting non-standard base-pairing at the 3rd anti-codon position. The record is from RNAcentral. Lineage: Bacteria; Pseudomonadati; Pseudomonadota; Alphaproteobacteria; Candidatus Pelagibacterales; Candidatus Pelagibacteraceae.
GCCCCUUUAGCUCAUUUGGUAGAGCAACUGAUUUGUAAUCAGUAGGUGGUCUGUUCGAAUCGGACAAGGGGCACCA